UACAGAGGGGGCAAGCGUUAUUCGGAAUUAUUGGGCGUAAAGGGCGCGUAGGCGGCCUGGCAAGUGACGGGUGAAAGCCCUCGGCUCAACCGAGGAAUUGCCUGUCAUACUGCCGGGCUUGAGUCCGGGAGAGGUGAGUGGAAUUCCCAGUGUAGCGGUGAAAUGCGUAGAUAUUGGGAGGAACACCAGUGGCGAAGGCGGCUCACUGGACCGGAACUGACGCUGAGGCGCGAAAGCGUGGGGAGCAAACAGG
This 253-nucleotide ribosomal RNA is filed under the name uncultured bacterium. RNAcentral describes it as "partial 16S ribosomal RNA". It matches the Rfam family "Bacterial small subunit ribosomal RNA", at positions 524 to 776 of the family's 1533-position model. The record is from RNAcentral.